Molecule: unclassified non-coding RNA, 247 nt
Filed under: uncultured bacterium
Lineage: Bacteria
Description: contains 16S-23S intergenic spacer region
Source: RNAcentral
UGGGCUUGACAACGGAGGACAGCCCCAUCUCUGGGGCUGUCCUCCGUUGUCUAGCCCAGGUAAGGCUCUGCGCGUUGCGUCGAAUUGAACCACAUGCUCCACCGCUUGUGCGGGCCCCCGUCAAUUCCUUUGAGUUUUAGCCUUGCGGCCGUACUCCCCAGGCGGGGUGCUUAAUGCGUUAGCUUCGGCACGGAGAGGGUUGAAGACCUCCCCACACCUAGCACCCAACGUUUACGGCUGGGACUAC